AAGACUAUAGACCUGCGGAGUACCUGCGGAAGGAUCAUUAUCAAAUCCACAAAACACCCUUUGUUGUUGGCUGGCUGCUGUACACCACUUUAGCUUUUAUUAAUCCUUAAUGGAUGGAUAGAGUGGGUGGUGAACAAGCAACUAGAUGGCAAUCCCUUGCGGAAAGUCACCGAGGGCCUACCAACAACAACCUAGCCUAGCUGGUGCAUCUAGAUAGCUGCUUGCUACUCUAUUAAUCAU
This 240-nucleotide unclassified non-coding RNA is filed under the name soil metagenome. RNAcentral describes it as "partial contains 5.8S ribosomal RNA, internal transcribed spacer 2, and large subunit ribosomal RNA". The record is from RNAcentral.